CCAGCCACGGGCCCGGCCUUCCCACAGUGAACUCAUCCGGGACAAUGAUGAAGGCAAAGCCACUGCUACCCAGACCACUACUAGAAUUUGAUGUCCCUUUACCAUAACUGUUGUUGAACUGGAAAGAAAAGGUGGUCUGGAAUGAAGCUGGGGUUUGGGUGGGAGGAUCGAAGAGGCGGAUGGGAGCGGAGUAGAUGGCUCGCCCUGCUUGGUGUCUAAGAUCAACAGCUUGCGAAGCAUCUGGGAUUUGGAGUGAGGCCUUAUCAUCAGAGAACUUCGCACUGCCUAGAAGCUUGACAUCCUGGUACACACUGGGAUUGCUUGAACUGAAAUCUGGAAAAGAGAGAUGCUUAGACACGUUAACAAGAGGUCCGGAACUGAGCCUCUUGUCAUUAUGGGAGCUCACCAGAACCGGGUAUUCCAAUAAGCAUAGGAGACAGGAUGAACAGAGCAUCAUCAGCCAUAGGAGGCAGUUGCAAGAACCCAUUAC
This 490-nucleotide long non-coding RNA is filed under the name Vitis vinifera (wine grape). RNAcentral's name for it is "long non-coding RNA (VVIN_LNC005583)". Lineage: Eukaryota; Viridiplantae; Streptophyta; Magnoliopsida; Vitales; Vitaceae. The record is from RNAcentral.